AGUGGCGAACGGGUGAGUAACACGUGAGCAACCUGCCCCUGACUCUGGGAUAAGCGCUGGAAACGGCGUCUAAUACUGGAUAUGUGACGUGACCGCAUGGUCUGCGUCUGGAAAGAAUUUCGGUUGGGGAUGGGCUCGCGGCCUAUCAGCUUGUUGGUGAGGUAAUGGCUCACCAAGGCGUCGACGGGUAGCCGGCCUGAGAGGGUGACCGGCCACACUGGGACUGAGACACGGCCCAGACUCCUACGGGAGGCAGCAGUGGGGAAUAUUGCACAAUGGGCGCAAGUCUGAUGCAGCAACGCCGCGUGAGGGACGACGGCCUUCGGGUUGUAAACCUCUUUUAGCAGGGAAGAAGCGAAAGUGACGGUACCUGCAGAAAAAGCGCCGGCUAACUACGUGCCAGCAGCCGCGGUAAUACGUAGGGCGCAAGCGUUAUCCGGAAUUAUUGGGCGUAAAGAGCUCGUAGGCGGUUUGUCGCGUCUGCUGUGAAAUCCGGAGGCUCAACCUCCGGCCUGCAGUGGGUACGGGCAGACUAGAGUGCGGUAGGGGAGAUUGGAAUUCCUGGUGUAGCGGUGGAAUGCGCAGAUAUCAGGAGGAACACCGAUGGCGAAGGCAGAUCUCUGGGCCGUAACUGACGCUGAGGAGCGAAAGGGUGGGGAGCAAACAGGCUUAGAUACCCUGGUAGUCCACCCCGUAAACGUUGGGAACUAGUUGUGGGGUCCAUUCCACGGAUUCCGUGACGCAGCUAACGCAUUAAGUUCCCCGCCUGGGGAGUACGGCCGCAAGGCUAAAACUCAAAGGAAUUGACGGGGACCCGCACAAGCGGCGGAGCAUGCGGAUUAAUUCGAUGCAACGCG
RNAcentral lists this ribosomal RNA (857 nucleotides) under uncultured bacterium. RNAcentral describes it as "bacterial SSU rRNA". It matches the Rfam family "Bacterial small subunit ribosomal RNA", at positions 94 to 963 of the family's 1533-position model. The record is from RNAcentral.